GGGGAUUUAGCUUAGUGGUAGAGCGCUUGCCUAGCAAGCACAAGGCCCUGGGUUCAGUCCCCA
RNAcentral lists this transfer RNA (63 nucleotides) under Rattus norvegicus (Norway rat). It matches the Rfam family "tRNA", at positions 1 to 62 of the family's 71-position model. From Rfam's summary of the family: Transfer RNA (tRNA) molecules are approximately 80 nucleotides in length. Their secondary structure includes four short double-helical elements and three loops (D, anti-codon, and T loops). Further hydrogen bonds mediate the characteristic L-shaped molecular structure. tRNAs have two regions of fundamental functional importance: the anti-codon, which is responsible for specific mRNA codon recognition, and the 3' end, to which the tRNAs corresponding amino acid is attached (by aminoacyl-tRNA synthetases). tRNAs cope with the degeneracy of the genetic code in two manners: having more than one tRNA (with a specific anti-codon) for a particular amino acid; and 'wobble' base-pairing, i.e. permitting non-standard base-pairing at the 3rd anti-codon position. The record is from Rfam by way of RNAcentral. Lineage: Eukaryota; Metazoa; Chordata; Mammalia; Rodentia; Muridae.